RNAcentral lists this ribosomal RNA (254 nucleotides) under uncultured bacterium. RNAcentral describes it as "partial 16S ribosomal RNA". It matches the Rfam family "Bacterial small subunit ribosomal RNA", at positions 524 to 776 of the family's 1533-position model. The record is from RNAcentral.
UACGUAGGGGGCAAGCGUUGUCCGGAUUUAUUGGGCGUAAAGAGCUCGUAGGCGGUUCCGUAAGUCGGAUGUGAAAACUCAGGGCUCAACCCGGAGACGCCAUCUGAUACUGCGGUGACUGGAGUCUGGUAGGGGAUCACGGAAUACCUGGUGUAGCGGUGAAAUGCGCAGAUAUCAGGUGGAACACCGAUGGCGAAGGCAGUGAUCUGGGCCAGUACUGACGCUGAGGAGCGAAAGCGUGGGGAGCAAACAGG